CCCGAAACCAGGUGAUCUACCCAUGUCCAGGAUGAAGGUAAGGUAAUACUUACUGGAGGUCCGAACCCACGCACGUUGAAAAGUGCGGGGAUGAGGUGUGGGUAGCGGAGAAAUUCCAAUCGAACUUGGAGAUAGCUGGUUCUCUCCGAAAUAGCUUUAGGGCUAGCCUCGAGGUAAAGAGUCAUGGAGGUAGAGCACUGUUUGGACUAGGGGCCCUUCUCGGGUUACCGAAUUCAGAUAAACUCCGAAUGCCAUGUACUUAUACUCGGGAGUCAGACUGCGAGUGAUAAGAUCCGUAGUCGAAAGGGAAACAGCCCAGACCACCAGUUAAGGUCCCCAAAUAUAUGUUAAGUGGAAAAGGAUGUGGGGUUGCUUAGACAACCAGGAUGUUGGCUUAGAAGCAGCCACCAUUGAAAGAGUGCGUAAUAGCUCACUGGUCGAGUGACCCCGCGCCGAAAAUGUACCGGGGCUAAACAUAUUACCGAAACUGUGGAUGAACCUCUUUAGAGGUUCGUGGUAGGAGAGCGUUCUAAGGGCGGUGAAGUCAGACCGGAAGGACUGGUGGAGCGCUUAGAAGUGAGAAUGCCGGUAUGAGUAGCGAAAGAAGGGUGAGAAUCCCUUCCACCGAAUAUCUAAGGUUUCCUGAGGAAGGCUCGUCCGCUCAGGGUUAGUCGGGACCUAAGCCGAGGCCGAUAGGCGUAGGCGAUGGACAACAGGUAGAGAUUCCUGUACCAGUGCUAAUUGUUUAACCGAUGGGGUGACACAGAAGGAUAGGGAAUCGCACGAAUGGAAAUGUGCGUCCAAGCAGUGAGUGUGAGAAGUAGGCAAAUCCGCUUCUCGCGAAGCAUGAGCUGUGAUGGGGAAGGAAAUUAAGUACGGAAGUUCCUGAUUUCACGCUGUCAAGAAAAGCCUCUAGGAAGAGUAGUACUGCCCGUACCGCAAACCGACACAGGUAGAUGAGGAGAGAAUCCUAAGGUGAGCGAGAGAACUCUCGUUAAGGAACUCGGCAAAAUGACCCCGUAACUUCGGGAGAAGGGGUGCUCUAUUAGGGUGCAAGCCCGAGAGAGCCGCAGUGAAUAGGCCCAGGCGACUGUUUAGCAAAAACACAGGUCUCUGCAAAACCGUAAGGUGACGUAUAGGGGCUGACGCCUGCCCGGUGCUGGAAGGUUAAGAGGAGUGCUUAGCUUCGGCGAAGGUACGAAUUGAAGCCCCAGUAAACGGCGGCCGUAACUAUAACGGUCCUAAGGUAGCGAAAUUCCUUGUCGGGUAAGUUCCGACCCGCACGAAAGGCG
RNAcentral lists this ribosomal RNA (1292 nucleotides) under Listeria monocytogenes. RNAcentral describes it as "partial 23S ribosomal RNA". It matches the Rfam family "Bacterial large subunit ribosomal RNA", at positions 714 to 2001 of the family's 2925-position model. Lineage: Bacteria; Bacillati; Bacillota; Bacilli; Caryophanales; Listeriaceae. The record is from RNAcentral.